This 355-nucleotide ribosomal RNA is filed under the name uncultured bacterium. RNAcentral describes it as "bacterial SSU rRNA". It matches the Rfam family "Bacterial small subunit ribosomal RNA", at positions 527 to 881 of the family's 1533-position model. The record is from RNAcentral.
GGAGGGUGCAAGCGUUAAUCGGAAUUACUGGGCGUAAAGCGCACGCAGGCGGUUUGUUAAGUCAGAUGUGAAAUCCCCGGGCUCAACCUGGGAACUGCAUCUGAUACUGGCAAGCUUGAGUCUCGUAGAGGGGGGUAGAAUUCCAGGUGUAGCGGUGAAAUGCGUAGAGAUCUGGAGGAAUACCGGUGGCGAAGGCGGCCCCCUGGACGAAGACUGACGCUCAGGUGCGAGAGCGUGGGGAGCAAACAGGAUUAGAUACCCUGGUAGUCCACGCCGUAAACGAUGUCGACUUGGAGGUUGUGCCCUUGAGGCGUGGCUUCCGGAGCUAACGCGUUAAGUCGACCGCCUGGGGAGU